This 519-nucleotide ribosomal RNA is filed under the name uncultured bacterium. RNAcentral's name for it is "partial 16S ribosomal RNA". It matches the Rfam family "Bacterial small subunit ribosomal RNA", at positions 28 to 507 of the family's 1533-position model. The record is from RNAcentral.
GACGAACGCUGGCGGCGUGCCUAAUACAUGCAAGUCGAGCGAGCUUGCCUAGAUGAUUUUAGUGCUUGCACUAAAUGAAACUAGAUACAAGCGAGCGGCGGACGGGUGAGUAACACGUGGGUAACCUGCCCAAGAGACUGGGAUAACACCUGGAAACAGAUGCUAAUACCGGAUAACAACACUAGACGCAUGUCUAGAGUUUGAAAGAUGGUUCUGCUAUCACUCUUGGAUGGACCUGCGGUGCAUUAGCUAGUUGGUAAGGUAACGGCUUACCAAGGCAAGGAUGCGUAGCCGAGUUGAGAGACUGAUCGGCCACAUUGGGACUGAGACACGGCCCAAACUCCUACGGGAGGCAGCAGUAGGGAAUCUUCCACAAUGGACGAAAGUCUGAUGGAGCAACGCCGCGUGAGUGAAGAAGGGUUUCGGCUCGUAAAGCUCUGUUGGUAGUGAAGAAAGAUAGAGGUAGUAACUGGCCUUUAUUUGACGGUAAUUACUUAGAAAGUCACGGCUAACUACGUG